RNAcentral lists this ribosomal RNA (468 nucleotides) under uncultured bacterium. RNAcentral's name for it is "partial 16S ribosomal RNA". It matches the Rfam family "Bacterial small subunit ribosomal RNA", at positions 28 to 507 of the family's 1533-position model. The record is from RNAcentral.
GACGAACGCUGGCGGCGUGCUUAACACAUGCAAGUCGAACGGAAAGGCCCUGCUUUUGUGGGGUGCUCGAGUGGCGAACGGGUGAGUAACACGUGAGUAACCUGCCCUUGACUUUGGGAUAACUUCAGGAAACUGGGGCUAAUACCGGAUAGGAGCUCCUGCUGCAUGGUGGGGGUUGGAAAGUUUCGGCGGCUGGGGAUGGACUCGCGGCUUAUCAGCUUGUUGGUGGGGUAGUGGCUUACCAAGGCUUUGACGGAUAGCCGGCCUGGGAGGGUGACCGGCCACAUGAGGACUGAGAUACGGCCCAGACUCCUACGGGAGGCAGCAGUGGGGAAUAUUGCGCAAUGGGCGGAAGCCUGAUGCAGCAACGCCGCGUGCGGGAUGACGGCCUUCGGGUGGUAAACCGAUUUCGCCUGUGACGAAGCGUGAGUGACGGUAAUGGGUAAAGAAGCACCGGCUAACUACGUG